GUGUACAGCUAUACCACCCUGAACGUGCCCAAUCUCAUCUGAUCGCGAAAGCUAAGCAGGGUUGGGCCUGGUUAAUACUUGGGCGGGAGAUUUAUAUC
Molecule: ribosomal RNA, 98 nt
Filed under: Prolemur simus (greater bamboo lemur)
Lineage: Eukaryota; Metazoa; Chordata; Mammalia; Primates; Lemuridae
Source: RNAcentral